This 144-nucleotide microRNA precursor is filed under the name Loxodonta africana (African savanna elephant). RNAcentral's name for it is "miRNA (ENSLAFG00000023740.1)". The stretch from base 46 to 97 matches the Rfam family "mir-1302 microRNA precursor family". Lineage: Eukaryota; Metazoa; Chordata; Mammalia; Proboscidea; Elephantidae. The record is from RNAcentral.
CAGGACUCUCAGUUACAUCUGAAUUUUAAAUAAACGACCAGUAAUUUUUUAUUAUAAGUAUGUUCCAUACAAUAUUUGGGACAUACUUAUACUAAAAAUUAUUGACCUUUUAUCUGAAAUUCAAAUUUAACUAGGUGUUCCUUU